This 1423-nucleotide long non-coding RNA is filed under the name Cyanistes caeruleus (blue tit). Its description in RNAcentral is "lncRNA (ENSCCEG00000003754.1)". The record is from RNAcentral. Lineage: Eukaryota; Metazoa; Chordata; Aves; Passeriformes; Paridae.
AUGUCUUGUGUUGUCCUGUCUGACAGCUGUUUCUGGAUGGGAAGUGUGGAUGUCAACAUGCCUGUGGGAGAGGGUUGGAUACUGGCUGCUCGAUUCACUCCACAGUGGAAUUUUAGCAAAAACAUCAUUCUGUGUCACUGCAACUGCUUGACAGAAAGAAGGCUGAGCUGUGGGAAUGGUCGAGGUCUGAUGUACACACAUCUUCUCCAGUGCCAGAUGCUGAUGGAUGCUGGAGGGGAAAGAGAAGCAUUGUGUCUGCUUCCCUCAUGGAUGAAGUCAUGGUUUGGUGGAACUGGAGACUUGGCAGCACUUAGGUAAAUAAAUCAAAAAGGUGGAAUAGAGGGGCUGGACAAGAAGGCAGCUCUUCUGCUUCCCCUGGAGACAACACCCAGUGUUUGGUCUUUUGGAUCCUCUUGGAUGCUGCUAAAUACUGGGAAGCCUUUGUGCAGCCCAAAGGGGAGGACCACUCAGAGGUGUCCCACAAGCCCCAUGGAUCUGUGUAAUGCAGACAUCUGUGGCAAAGAAAAUAAUUUCAUUGGUUUCAAGAGGCUGAAUCAAGACUGGAAAAUGUGAGUGUUAAGAUUACUUUUGUUCAUUGUUGCAUUGCAUCGAUUUUUUCCGUACCAGCACUGCUCUGUGAAGGGCCGUGUGACAGUCCCCAUGGGGCCACUUACACGGGCAGAUCUGUGCUGCACACUGUUGGGGAGUAACUCAUCUGUGGAAUCCACUGUCUGAAGGGCAGCUGGAUUUGCCAAUAUUUCUGGCUGUAUGCUCAUUUCUGAUAAAAAGGGGAAAAGAGAGCUUCAUCUACUGAGUGGCCAGUGCAAAUUUCAUGUGAUAUAUGUUAUUCGAGGGCUGAGGGGCAGUGGACCUUUUGGAAGCUAUUAAAUAACUGUACUUAACAAUGACUUAAAAGUAACUCUAUUUCCUUCCCACAGGUGAGAGUUGGACCUUUCCUUCCCCCAGGAGCACUUCUGGGGCUCAGGCAGUUGGAGGAGGUCAAUGCUACCUGCAGCUGCAAAGAGACGAUGAAAUGAAAUGGAAAUUAGGGUUUCCUCAAUAAGAGUGGGGACUCAGUUUUGCUUUCCUGCAGGAAAGGGGUGUGGGGGGGUGUCUGUUCUUGAGGGGUAGAAAAGGCCAUGGAAUCCACUCAAUAAUAGGAUCCAGGUGGAAGCCUUGUUUCCCAGUACAGCAGUAAGUCCAAGGGCCUUCUGUUGCCUGUCUUGACUCCUCUUGGCUUAUUCCAUGGAAACUCCACAGUGUCUUGCUCAUGUGACCUUGGGCUUUUAUAGGAAAAUACCAAUAUAUGCUGGAAUUUGUUAGAAUGAAGCAGCAGCCGAAGCAGGUCUCAAUUAAGACAGGUUCUUUCCACUGUUUAAACCAAACAACUAAUAAACCACAGCAAAGGUAAAACCUUCUAGCA